UCAGGAUGAACGCUGGCGGCGUGCUUAACACAUGCAAGUCGAACGGGAAGCACCCCUACGGGGGUGUGGAGAGUGGCGCACGGGUGCGUAACACGUGGCUUAUCUACCCUGGAGACGGGGAUAACCUUCGGAAACGAAGGCUAAUACCCGAUAAGCUCACGAUCUGUAGAGGGUUGUGAGAAAAGUUCAGGCGCUCUGGGAUGAGGCUGCGGUCCAUCAGCUAGUUGGUGAGGUAAGAGCUUACCAAGGCGACGACGGAUAGGGGACCUGAGAGGGUGGACCCCCACACUGGCACUGAGACACGGGCCAGACUCCUACGGGAGGCAGCAGUGAGGAAUAUUGCGCAAUGGGCGAAAGCCUGACGCAGCGACGCCGCGUGGGCGAAGAAGGUUUUCGGAUCGUAAAGCCCUUUUCUAUGUGACGAGAGAUAGGACGGUAGCAUAGGAAUAAGUCUCGGCUAACUACGUGCCAGCAGCCGCGGUAAAACGUAGGAGGCAAGCGUUAUCCGGAGUUACUGGGCGUAAAGCGCGUGUAGGCGGCGGCGUAGGUCAGAUGUGAAAGCUCCCAGGCUAAACCGGGAGAGGUCAUUUGAAACCGCGUGGCUAGAGUGCGGCAGAGGGGCAUGGAAUUCCGGGUGUAGUGGUGAAAUGCGUAGAUAUCCGGAGGAACACCAGUGGCGAAGGCGGUGCCCUGGGCCGCAACUGACGCUGAGACGCGAAAGCAUGGGCAGCGAACGGGAUUAGAAACCCCGGUAGUCCAUGCCGUAAACGAUGCACACUGGGUGUUCGUGGCGGGAAACCGCUGGGAGUGCCGAAGUCAACACGGUAAGUGUGCCGNCUGGGGAGUACGGUCGCAAGGCUAAAACUCAAAGGAAUUGACGGGGGCCCGCACAAGCAGCGGAGCGUGUGGU
Molecule: ribosomal RNA, 910 nt
Filed under: uncultured organism
Description: bacterial SSU rRNA
Rfam family: Bacterial small subunit ribosomal RNA
Source: RNAcentral